GCUACUCAAUAGUUCAGUUAGUUAGAGCGUGGUGCUGAUAAUGCCAAGGUUGCAGGUUUGAUUCCUGUAUGGAACA
Non-coding RNA from Podarcis lilfordi (Lilford's wall lizard), 76 nucleotides. Lineage: Eukaryota; Metazoa; Chordata; Lepidosauria; Squamata; Lacertidae. The record is from the annotation of a GenBank genome assembly.